This 201-nucleotide ribosomal RNA is filed under the name uncultured Anaerolineaceae bacterium. RNAcentral's name for it is "partial 16S ribosomal RNA". It matches the Rfam family "Bacterial small subunit ribosomal RNA", at positions 1185 to 1382 of the family's 1533-position model. The record is from RNAcentral. Lineage: Bacteria; Bacillati; Chloroflexota; Anaerolineae; Anaerolineales; Anaerolineaceae.
UCAAGUCAGCAUGACCUUUAUAUCCAGGGCUACACACACGCUACAAUGGUCUGUACAAUGGGUAGCCAAGCCGCGAGGCGGAGCCAAUCCUGAAAGCAGGCCUCAGUUCAGAUUGCAGUCUGCAACUCGACUGCAUGAAGCCGGAGUUGCUAGUAACCGCAGGCCAGCAAUACUCGCGGUCGAAUACGUUCCCGGGUCCUU